UACGGAGGGAGCUAGCGUUGUUCGGAAUUACUGGGCGUAAAGCGCACGUAGGCGGCUUUGUAAGUUAGAGGUGAAAGCCCGGGGCUCAACUCCGGAAUUGCCUUUAAGACUGCAUCGCUUGAAUCCGGGAGAGGUGAGUGGAAUUCCGAGUGUAGAGGUGAAAUUCGUAGAUAUUCGGAAGAACACCAGUGGCGAAGGCGACGUACUGGACGAUUGUUGACGCUGAGGUGCGAAAGCGUGGGGAGCAAACAGG
Molecule: ribosomal RNA, 253 nt
Filed under: uncultured bacterium
Lineage: Bacteria
Description: partial 16S ribosomal RNA
Rfam family: Bacterial small subunit ribosomal RNA
Source: RNAcentral